Molecule: ribosomal RNA, 508 nt
Filed under: uncultured bacterium
Lineage: Bacteria
Description: bacterial SSU rRNA
Rfam family: Bacterial small subunit ribosomal RNA
Source: RNAcentral
AGUUUGAUCAUGGCUCAGAGUGAACGCUGGCGGCAGGCCUAAUACAUGCAAGUCGAACGGCAGCACAGUGGAGCUUGCUCCAUGGGUGGCGAGUGGCGGACGGGUGAGGAAUACAUGGGAAUCUGCCCAGUCGUGGGGGAUAACGUAUGGAAACGUACGCUAAUACCGCAUGCGCCCUUCGGGGGAAAGUCGGGGACCGCAAGGCCUGACGCGAUUGGAUGAGCCCAUGUUCGAUUAGCUAGUUGGCGGGGUAACGGCCCACCCAGGCGACGAUCGAUAGCUGGUCUGAGAGGAUGAUCAGCCACACUGGAACUGAGACACGGUCCAGACUCCUACGGGAGGCAGCAGUAGGGAAUAUUGGACAAUGGGGGCAACCCUGAUCCAGCCAUGCCGCGUGAGUGAAGAAGGCCCUCGGGUUGUAAAGCUCUUUUGUUGGGGAAGAAAAGCAGUUGGUUAAUACCCGAUUGUUCUGACGGUACCCAAAGAAUAAGCACCGGCUAACUUCGUG